Long non-coding RNA from Chenopodium quinoa (quinoa), 2500 nucleotides. RefSeq lists it as uncharacterized. The transcript has 5 exons. The record is from RefSeq and is a predicted model, not a curated record. Lineage: Eukaryota; Viridiplantae; Streptophyta; Magnoliopsida; Caryophyllales; Amaranthaceae.
GCUCUGGCAUGGCCAGUUACUCAUGUGAUGCCGCUUACGGCUUAGAGUCUCAGUUAAAAUAUCACGCUCACCUUUUCAGUUCUACCCAUCCUCCUUGACUUGCAAACCCAUCCCAUUUUCUCUCUUUUCAACCCUCAUUCAAAUUCUAAUUUUUGUUCUUCAACAAUUCGUAUGAACAACAAAUCUAAUUUCGAAAAAACCUUUGUCGGCUUACGACUCAUGUCUAAGCCACCAAUUACAUUAGCGUUGGUCUGAUGUGGAGAUCACCGGAGUUACAAUUUCAUCUCUGUGCGAAUCAUUCGAGUUCGUUGUUUUUCAAAGGAUUCUGAUGUAUUCAUCGACGUUGAUCUGAUAAUUUUGAGAAGAAAGUUCCAAUUUUUUCGCGAAUUAUUAGCGUCAGAAGGAAAAUAAAGGCAACUGAAUAAUUCAAUCAGAAUUGCUUUUUGAAUUGGAUUGAAAUUCAGCAAAAGUAGUUCCAUCGAGGUUCAAUGUGCACUGAGAUAGAUUAUUGAAGAACAUCAGAUUAAAGCAGCUACGUUGCCAGAGUUUCGAGCGCAAGAGCAAGAAAUCGGGGCUUGAAAUUCCUAAAUCGGUGUAUAGUUGAACAAGCAAUUUGCAAGGCUGGAAAAUUUGGUUCACAACUGGUUGAAUUGACACAACUGAAGUCGUGCAAGAGCAGGAGAGUUUCAGUCUUGAAGCAAAAUGUGAAGGGCUCGUUGGAGCGCUAUCUGGUCAUGAAAUACCACCCAUUGAAGAGAAGACCAGAAUUCUAUUGCAAUAUCAAGUGCUCAGUGUGAACUGCUACUAUCCCAUACAGAACUGUCAAAUUUGUGAAGCGGACAUAAUCGUCAAAAUUUGAAGGUGGACCAUUAUAUCAAUUAACUAACUAGCUUUUUUUUAGUUAUAGAAUAUUAUUUAUUGUGAAUUGUGAGAAAUAUUUGUAAUUUACAGGUACAUCAAUUCAAUAUAAUUUACAAGAUAAUAUCACUUAAAGUUGUUAUUAUAUUGGUUAGAUCGAUAAUUUUUGUAUUUUAUAAAAGUUUAUUCACAAUUAAUGGUCUUUACAUUAAAAAAAUAUAAAUGUAGUGUACGGGCAGUGGCGGACUGGGCCUUGUGCCUGGUGACUCACCAGGGCCCAAAAAAAAUUUUAUGUUUUUUUUUUAAAAAAAAAAAAUAAAAAAAAAAUCUAACUUCAGGUCCCGACACUUCCUCAAGCCCUAGCCCACUGCCUCCUCAGCUGCUCUUCCCUCUUCGCCUCUUGACUUCCUCUUCGCUUCAUCUUCACCAGACUGCCUCCACCCAGCCACCCUCCAGUCGCCUGCUCUACCUCUGCUGCUUGCCUGCUCCGUCUUCGUGGUCACUGCUCUUCGCCUCUUCGCAAUCGCUUCGACGCAAUUGCUAAUUCACUAUUGACGCUUCCUCUUCGCUCAUCGGCUCACGCCUCGUUGCCUCCAGUGCUGGCCCUGCUGCUCCGCCUACUCGCCUCAAUGAGCAUAUGCCGUCUGGCAAGGUAAUCAUCAAUUUAUUCUUUUUUUUUUGUGAAUUUCUGAUCAAAUUUGCAUUACUUGUUGCUUAAAAUUAGUAUAUACGAUGAAUGUUCAUUGAAUUUGCAUUAUUUGUGUUUUGACUGUUAAAUUGAACUUAUUAGUUUAUGUGAUGCCGGACAUUGUAUAAGACAACUAUUAGUGUAAGGAGGAUUAUAAAUUUAUAAUUAGAUUACAGUGUGGACUGGUUAGUGGUGCUAGUCGCAUAUUCGGCUGGAAGUUCCGUAUAGACUAGGCGGAUUCAGGAAUUGUAAAACAUUGUGUCUGAAUUGUGGUUACAUAAACCUUAAAUCAUUCUUAAGUUUUUUCUUGUGAUUGUUGCUGUAAAUUGUUUAAACUGUUAUUACACGGAGAACAGUAGUUAGGGUGUUUAUUAGCUUGUUAGUUAUUAGUUUGUUAAUUUUAGUCUUGUAAUUUCAGAAUGAAGAGAAAACGCAUUCCAAAUGAAAUGCAAAACAUUACUAGCUUUUUUGCUAAAAAGAAUCCUACUCCAACUUCUCUUCCACAUCCAACACAAAAUGAACAAACUAUAUCUCAACCUCAAGAAAGUGAACAACAUUCAUCUCCAUCUCAUUAUUCAACUUAAAAUUCCCCUCAAAAUGAACAAGGCCAAUGUUCUCCUAAUGCAACAAUCUUUGGUGAAAGAUUAAGUGAACAUGAAUUUGCUAAUCUUCCACAAGAUCCAGGAAAGAGGAGAAAGAUGAGUGAAUUUCAUAAAGAUGAUAGAGAUUUAGUGAGAAGAAUUUACAUUCAAAGAAAGCCUUGUCAGCCCAAAGACUUUGUAUUUCCUCAAACUUCUAUUUUUGGCAAAAACCGUCGCUUUUGUGCUAAGUGGUUUGGUACUUGGACUUGGCUUGAGUAUAGUGUGGAAAAGGAUGCUGCCUAUUGGUUGUAUUUUGUAUUGUUUGAAUAUUUGGAUGUAUUUUUUAGUACUAUUAUUUGGUUGUUUGGUAAAA